Molecule: long non-coding RNA, 2824 nt
Filed under: Lactuca sativa (garden lettuce)
Lineage: Eukaryota; Viridiplantae; Streptophyta; Magnoliopsida; Asterales; Asteraceae
Description: long non-coding RNA (LSAT_LNC001538)
Source: RNAcentral
UUAAAUCAUAAAAAAUCGCAUUUUUAUUAAUUAAUCUAUAAACGUAAUAGUACAAGUAUUUUAUUCGAUACAAAAUAAAAUAUAAAAAAUGAAAAAAUACUACAAAUUUCAAAGUGUUCUAAUGUCUUCGUGUCAAUAUUUCUUUAUUUUCUUCAAUUUAUCAUUUUUCACCUCUUCAAUAUUCACCACAAUUUCUUCCAAAUCUACAAAAAAAAAAAUUAAAAAUGAUUAAUUCAUAAACACUCACUAAAAUACAUAUGUGAUUUUCAUGUGAUUAACAUAUGAAUCACAUUUGAUUCACAUAUGAAUCGCAUGUGAUUUACAUAUGAAUCACAUUUACAUAUGACAUCAUAUGUAAAUCACAUGUGAUUUACAUGUGAAUCACAUGUGAAUCAAAUGUGAUUUACAUGUGAAAUCAAAUGUGAUGUACAUGUGAAUCAAAUGUGAUUAAUAUGUGAAUCAAAUAUGAUUUUCAUGUGAUUAACAUAGGAAUGUGUGCAUAUAUAUGUAAUUCACUUGAGAUUUACAUGUGAAUCACAUAUUAUUCAUAUAUGAUUUACAUGUGAAUCACAUGUAAAUAUAUAAAUCAUAUCCAAAUUAAUACAAUGGAUAUUAUAUACGGCAAAAAAGAUAAUAAUUGAGACUACACACCUGAAAUCCAAAUUAAUGUGAGGAGAUCCAAAGACAAUUCAUAAAGCUGCCGUAGGAGUACAUAAAACGUGUUCAUAAAAAUCAUUAAAAAAACUAAGAAAUCUGAAAUUAAUUGAGACUACACACCUGGAAUCCAAAUUAAUGAAGCAUUGCAUUGACAUCAGGCUUUUUUUAGCAUUUCCAGAAUAUCAAGAAUAACCUUUAGACGACUGAUGUGAAUAAGGCUUCAAAUAAUUAUCAACGAGAGAAUCCAUUAUAAUGAAUUGCUUUGUGUAAAUGCAGUUCCUCAGCUGUUACCUAAUUGAUUACAUAUACAUAUACUGACACUGUAUGUAUAUGUAUAUACAAACAUUAGAUUAGAUUUGAAUGAUGAUUACUCAUGUUGACUUGUUUUUAUAAAUAAAACUAGAAUAGGAAAGCUAACCCUCUGGUUUUGAAGCCUCAUUUUGGGAAAGUUGAUAAAACAAAAAUACAGUAUUAAAUAGUGAUAUAAUGAGUGUGGUGACAAAAAUAGGACCGUUGUUUAUUUAGCAUGUCUAAGAAAGAAGGGCAUUUGUAGGUUUGUCAUGAAAAUAUGCUUCCCCAAAGGAGAUGCUAAUGUUGUUUCUAUAAGAAAAAUUGACCUUGAUUUACUACAACCAGACACAUUUGUCAAUGACACCAUCAUUUAUUUUUAUAUCAAGUAUGUUCAUCUUCUCCUUUUGUCUCAUAAUGCUCUUAAGUAGAAAAUAGGACUUCUUACAAAGAGCCUGAAUUUAUACUGUAGUUAAAUCUCCCAUGGAAACAAUAAAUAGAGAAGGGGAAUAUGAUAAGGAAUCAUAAUAUUUGAACAACAAUUCUCACUUUCUAUCCAUGUGGGAUAAGUUAUUACUUAUUACAAGAUCUCUUUAGUGAUUUAGUGAAGCCAUUAAUUUUAGAAUGUUCUUACGUUUUCCACUUAACAAUGAUUAUAAUUUUAAAUGAUGACAAAUUUUUGAAGAAUAAAAUCAAACCUGAGGAGAGACACAAAUUCCACUUCUUCAACAAUUUUUCUUCUGGAAGCUUGCUGAUCCAGAUAAUGAUCCACUUGAUGCUUCUAAAGGAAUAGCAGUUUUUCAACGUACAUAAAAAAUCAGAUAAAUUCAGCAACCAGUUUAAAUUUUAGCAAUUUUGAAGAGAUAUGAGAGAAAUACAUGAAGCAGAUUUGGUUACUUUUAGUGUAAAUAGGAAGGAUGAUCAUGUUAUUCUUUUCAUAUUGAUUACAUUUAGCAUAUUGAUAACGAUUAGGCAAUUAACAGUGGAUUUCUUCAUCAUCGCACUGUUUCCGCCAUUGAUUCUCUAUCUCAAAGAUUUUAUAAUCAUUUCAAUUUUGGAAUUAUUCACUAAUGAUGAUUUUACAUGUACAUCUUCAUAUUAAAUACAAAUUUCCUUGCAAUUUCAUCCAAAAUCGAUAGCAAAAACAAAUUUAUUUUGAAAAGCUAUCAAGAGCAUUAUCAUCUAUGGUUUUCAGUCAACGAUCGUCAUAGGAUCAAUUUUAUCCUACGAACUUAAUCGAAACCAACACAUAAACAACGAAACAUGAUUAAAACUUUGAUCAAACUUACCUGUAAUCGAAUUCGAAGCUCAACUCAUCGAUGCCGAUUUCUACGUGGUUGUUAUAGUUUUACGCUUCCUUCUACUUUGUUUCUCGACUGAUUUUGGUUUAGGAAUAAUGGAACGGUAUGAUUAUUUGAUUUGUACCUGAUUAUAAAAGCUUUUAGUGUAUGUAAUUUAUUAGAAGUUAAUGGUUAAAAAUAAUUGGGGAGAUUGGAGGAUGGAGAGUGAGCUAGAAGAAUACUUCCAAUUUAUGAUGAAUCGAUACCUAAAUUGAUGCUUAAAAAAACUUGAGAGAUCAUUGUUGAUCGAUCUCGAUGAAUCGAUGAUCAUGAAUUGGGUGAUUUAGGGCUUCAAAUAUUGCAAUCGAAGGUGAACACGAAAAUUGUCGAUCUACAGGUUCGUAAAUUCUUCACCGAUGAUCUGGAUAUAAAAAAUUGUCGAUUGGUAGCCGACGUUCAUUGUCAACGGACAUAGACGUGGACCGAUUGAUGGAGGAUGGAAACGAGGGGAAGAGAUACGGUGGAGAGAGAGAGAGAGAGAGAGAGAGAUCUGAUAAGGAAUGGUGAUAGGAGACGUAUGUGUACGAGUCAAUUUCAAU